UCCGCGGCGCGACGCUCCCACGGACUUAGCUGGGAUGCAGAUAGAAGCUGGGCCUUUGUCUGACUCCCCUCCAACAGUCAGCCACAGACGGGAAGGCAGCGCAGGAAACUGAGGCCAAAGGAGCCGCGCUUCCACAUGAGCAUGAAGCGGCAAAGCCUGAACUAGAAGCUUCUAACGCCUAACCGUCAUCUUGCAGCACCAGGACCUCUGCAAGGCCCUUCCUGACUUUUUCCUUAGAAUGUGUGUAUAUGUGUCUUUUUCCUUUUCUGAUGCUAAGACACCUCACAAACACCAAUGUUAAGUAGAUUUCCAUCGUUGGAGGUUAAAACACCCGAACACAGGUGUUUUCUUGA
Molecule: non-coding RNA, 353 nt
Filed under: Pongo abelii (Sumatran orangutan)
Lineage: Eukaryota; Metazoa; Chordata; Mammalia; Primates; Hominidae
Source: RNAcentral